GACGAACGCUGGCGGCGUGCCUAAUACAUGCAAGUAGAACGCUGAAGAGAGGAGCUUGCUCUUCUUGGAUGAGUUGCGAACGGGUGAGUAACGCGUAGGUAACCUGCCUUGUAGCGGGGGAUAACUAUUGGAAACGAUAGCUAAUACCGCAUAACAAUGGAUGACACAUGUCAUUUAUUUGAAAGGGGCAAUUCCUCCACUACAAGAUGGACCUGCGUUGUAUUAGCUAGUAGGUGAGGUAAUGGCUCACCUAGGCGACGAUACAUAGCCGACCUGAGAGGGUGAUCGGCCACACUGGGACUGAGACACGGCCCAGACUCCUACGGGAGGCAGCAGUAGGGAAUCUUCGGCAAUGGGGGCAACCCUGACCGAGCAACGCCGCGUGAGUGAAGAAGGUUUUCGGAUCGUAAAGCUCUGUUGUAAGUCAAGAACGGGUGUGAGAGUGGAAAGUUCACACUGUGACGGUAGCUUACCAGAAAGGGACGGCUAACUACGUG
Molecule: ribosomal RNA, 497 nt
Filed under: uncultured bacterium
Lineage: Bacteria
Description: partial 16S ribosomal RNA
Rfam family: Bacterial small subunit ribosomal RNA
Source: RNAcentral